GUACAUAUAGUAGGAUCUCCAAUCCUCUCAAAAGGUAUUUGAGUAUACUUAACAGAGGAUGUAAAAAAAAUCAUUUCUCAUGGAAGAUAGAAAACAUAGAGAUGAUCUCAGAACCUACAAUGAGACGAUGUGAGACAUCGGCUCCAAGAAAGGAUGUGAAAUAGCUUUUCUGAGUAGAGAACUUUUGAAGAUUUCUAUACGGAAUAGCCU
RNAcentral lists this long non-coding RNA (210 nucleotides) under Elaeis guineensis (African oil palm). RNAcentral describes it as "long non-coding RNA (EGUI_LNC046509)". The record is from RNAcentral. Lineage: Eukaryota; Viridiplantae; Streptophyta; Magnoliopsida; Arecales; Arecaceae.